ACAAGGGAAAGACUUGAGUUACUUCCAACAGGGGUCUAUUCGUCAGUCAAAACGUUAAUCUUGAAGGAGCAAAGGUUUGUUCAUGACCUGUCAUGCUCGUUAGGCGAAGCCCACGUGUUUUAAAAAAAACGAAAGAAAAAAAAACGAAAAACGAAAAAAAACGAAAAGAUAGUGAGAGAAGAACCCUAGGGAAAAAGAUAGUGAGAGAAGAGCUAACAGAG
This 221-nucleotide long non-coding RNA is filed under the name Lathyrus oleraceus (garden pea). RNAcentral describes it as "Pisum sativum (pea) long non-coding RNA (PSAT_LNC023294)". Lineage: Eukaryota; Viridiplantae; Streptophyta; Magnoliopsida; Fabales; Fabaceae. The record is from RNAcentral.